This 2896-nucleotide ribosomal RNA is filed under the name Clostridioides difficile. Its description in RNAcentral is "bacterial LSU rRNA". It matches the Rfam family "Bacterial large subunit ribosomal RNA". The record is from RNAcentral. Lineage: Bacteria; Bacillati; Bacillota; Clostridia; Peptostreptococcales; Peptostreptococcaceae.
UCAAGUUAUUAAGGGUGCAGGGCGGAUGCCUUGGCACUAGGAGCCGAUGAAGGACGUGAUAAGCUGCGAUAAGCUUCGGGGAGUUGCACGUAAACUUUGAUCCGAAGAUUUCCGAAUGAGGAAACUCACUUAGAGUAAUGUCUAAGUAUCAUUAAGUGAAUACAUAGCUUAAUGAGGGGAACUCAGGGAACUGAAACAUCUAAGUACCUGAAGGAAGAGAAAGAAAUUCGAUUCCGUAAGUAGCGGCGAGCGAACGCGGAUUAGCCCAAACCAAUAAAGUUUUCUUUAUUGGGGUUGCGGACAUAUCAUAACGAAGAGGUAUCGUAAUUGAAGAGGUUUGGAAAGACCCACCACAGAAGGUAAUAGUCCUGUAUGUUAAACGAAAAGACUUUAGAUAUGAUCCAGAGUACCACGGGACACGUGAAACCCUGUGGGAAGCAGGAGGGACCACCCUCCAAGGCUAAAUACUACCUAGUGACCGAUAGCGUAUAGUACCGUGAGGGAAAGGUGAAAAGAACCCCGGGAGGGGAGUGAAAUAGAACCUGAAACCCUGCACUUACAAGCUGUGGAAGCACAUUUCUUGUGUGACCGCGUACUUUUUGUAGAACGGGCCAACGAGUUACGUUAAGUAGCAAGGUUAAGCACUUAAGGUGCGGAGCCGUAGCGAAAGCGAGUUUUAACUGAGCGUUCAGUUACUUGACGUAGACCCGAAACCGGGCGACCUACCCAUGAGCAGGAUGAAGCGAAAGUAAAAUUUCGUGGAGGUCCGAACCCACGAGCGUUGAAAAGCUCGGGGAUGACUUGUGGGUAGCGGUGAAAUUCCAAUCGAGCCCGGAGAUAGCUGGUUCUCCCCGAAAUAGCUUUAGGGCUAGCCUCAAGGUGAGAGAUACGGAGGUAGAGCACUGAAUGUCCUAGGGGGUAUUGCACCUACCGAAGACUAUCAAACUCCGAAUGCCGUCAUCUUAUACUUGGGAGUCAGACUGUGGGUGAUAAGAUUCAUAGUCGAAAGGGCAACAGCCCAGAUCGUCAGCUAAGGUCCCUAAAUGUAAGUUAAGUGGUAAAGGAUGUGGGAUUGCACAGACAACCAGGAUGUUGGCUUAGAAGCAGCCACUCAUUCAAAGAGUGCGUAAUAGCUCACUGGUCGAGUGAUCCUGCGCCGAAGAUUUCCGGGGCUAAAACUUACUACCGAAGCUACGGCAUCAGUAAUGAUGGGUAGGGGAGCUUCCCAUACGGGUUGAAGCAUGACCGUAAGGACAUGUGGACAGUAUGGGAGUGAGAAUGUUGGCAUGAGUAGCGAGAUGUGGGUGAGAAUCCCACAGGCCGUAAACCCAAGGUUUCCAGGGGAAGGUUCGUCCGCCCUGGGUUAGUCGGGACCUAAGCUGAGGCCGAAAGGCGUAGGUGAUGGACAACAGGUUGAUAUUCCUGUACUACCGAUAACCGUUUGAGAGAAGGGAUGACACAGUAGGAUAAGCUAAGCACACUGUUGGUUAUGUGUGCCCAAGCAUUGAGGCAGUCAAAGUAGGCAAAUCCGCUUUGAUAAUGCUGGGAUGUGAUGGGGAGCGAAAUUUAGUAGCGAAGUAGCUGAUUUCACACUGUCAAGAAAAGUCUCUAUCGAGGUUAAAGGUACCCGUACCGCAAACCGACACAGGUGGGUGAGGAGAGUAUCCUAAGGCCAGCGAGAGAACUGUUGUUAAGGAACUCAGCAAAAUGACCCCGUAACUUAGGGAUAAGGGGUGCCACCAUCAGGUGGCCGCAGAGAAUAGGCCCAAGCGACUGUUUACCAAAAACAUAGGUUUCUGCUAAGUCGCAAGACGAUGUAUAGGAGCUGACGCCUGCCCGGUGCUGGAAGGUUAAGGGGAUCUGUUAGAGCAAUCGAAGCAGUGAACUUAAGCCCCAGUAAACGGCGGCCGUAACUAUAACGGUCCUAAGGUAGCGAAAUUCCUUGUCGGGUAAGUUCCGACCCGCACGAAAGGCGUAACGAUUUGGGCACUGUCUCAACAACAGACUCGGUGAAAUUGUAAUUCCGGUGAAGAUGCCGGAUACCUGCGACAGGACGGAAAGACCCCAUGGAGCUUUACUGUAGCUUGACAUUGGGUCUUGGUACUACAUGUACAGGAUAGGUGGGAGGCUUUGAAACCAGGACGCCAGUUUUGGCGGAGCCAUCCUUGGGAUACCACCCUUGUAGUACUGGGACUCUAACCAUAGGCCAUGAAUCUGGUCUUGGGACACUGUCAGGUGGGCAGUUUGACUGGGGCGGUCGCCUCCCAAAAGGUAACGGAGGCGCUCAAAGGUUCUCUCAGUACGGUCGGAAAUCGUACGUAGAGUGUAAAGGCAAAAGAGAGCUUGAUUGCAAGACAUACAGGUCGAGCAAGGAUGAAAAUCGGACUUAGUGAUCCGGUGGUUCUGCGUGGAAGGGCCAUCGCUCAACGGAUAAAAGCUACCCUGGGGAUAACAGGCUUAUCUCCCCCAAGAGUCCACAUCGACGGGGAGGUUUGGCACCUCGAUGUCGGCUCAUCACAUCCUGGGGCUGUAGUAGGUCCCAAGGGUUGGGCUGUUCGCCCAUUAAAGUGGUACGCGAGCUGGGUUCAGAACGUCGUGAGACAGUUCGGUCCCUAUCCGUCGCAGGCGUAGGAAAUUUGAGAAGACCUGUCCUUAGUACGAGAGGACCGGGAUGGACGUACCUCUGGUGUACCAGUUGUCCUGCCAAGGGCAUGGCUGGGUAGCUAUGUACGGAAUGGAUAAGCGCUGAAAGCAUCUAAGCGCGAAGCCAACUUCAAGAUAAGAUUUCCCACCGCAAGGGUAAGACCCCAGAAAGACUAUCUGGUUGAUAGGUCGAAGGUGUAAGUGCAGCAAUGUAUUUAGCUUAUCGAUACUAAUAGGUCGAGGACUUGACCAA